RNAcentral lists this ribosomal RNA (253 nucleotides) under uncultured bacterium. RNAcentral describes it as "partial 16S ribosomal RNA". It matches the Rfam family "Bacterial small subunit ribosomal RNA", at positions 524 to 776 of the family's 1533-position model. The record is from RNAcentral.
GACGUAGGUUGCAAGCGUUAUCCGGAAUUAUUGGGCGUAAAGCGUUCGUAGGUGGUUUGUUAAGUUGGAUGUUAAAGCCUUAAGCUUAACUUAAGUCAUGUAUCCAAAACUAGCAGACUAGAGACAGGUAGAGGUAAGUAGAAUUCUGUAUGUAGGGGUAAUAUCCGUAGAUAUACAGAGGAAUACCAAAAGCGAAGGCAGCUUACUGGACCUGUUCUGACACUCAGGAACGAAAGCGUGGGGAGCAAACGGG